This 464-nucleotide ribosomal RNA is filed under the name Vreelandella stevensii. RNAcentral describes it as "partial 16S ribosomal RNA". It matches the Rfam family "Bacterial small subunit ribosomal RNA", at positions 338 to 795 of the family's 1533-position model. Lineage: Bacteria; Pseudomonadati; Pseudomonadota; Gammaproteobacteria; Oceanospirillales; Halomonadaceae. The record is from RNAcentral.
CCUACGGGGGGCUGCAGUGGGGAAUAUUGGACAAUGGGGGGAACCCUGAUCCAGCCAUGCCGCGUGUGUGAAGAAGGCCCUCGGGUUGUAAAGCACUUUCAGUGAGGAAGAACGCCUGGUGGUUAAUACCCAUCAGGAAAGACAUCACUCACAGAAGAAGCACCGGCUAACUCCGUGCCAGCAGCCGCGGUAAUACGGAGGGUGCGAGCGUUAAUCGGAAUUACUGGGCGUAAAGCGCGCGUAGGUGGCUUGAUAAGCCGGUUGUGAAAGCCCCGGGCUCAACCUGGGAACGGCAUCCGGAACUGUCAAGCUAGAGUGCAGGAGAGGAAGGUAGAAUUCCCGGUGUAGCGGUGAAAUGCGUAGAGAUCGGGAGGAAUACCAGUGGCGAAGGCGGCCUUCUGGACUGACACUGACACUGAGGUGCGAAAGCGUGGGUAGCAAACAGGAUUAGAUCCCUAGUAGUC